UGUGAGGAUGAUCUGGCUGCUACAUCUGUUAUCCCAUGGAUCGCCAAGGUUGAUUUGGCUAAUCUGGCUAGCUAAGUGUCCCUCUCCUCCCUCACCAN
RNAcentral lists this small nuclear RNA (98 nucleotides) under Neotoma lepida (desert woodrat). RNAcentral describes it as "7SK RNA". It matches the Rfam family "7SK RNA", at positions 4 to 105 of the family's 331-position model. Rfam says of the family: 7SK was discovered as an abundant small nuclear RNA in the mid-70s but a possible function has only recently been suggested. Lineage: Eukaryota; Metazoa; Chordata; Mammalia; Rodentia; Cricetidae. The record is from Rfam by way of RNAcentral.